Benincasa hispida (wax gourd) is the source of this 1078-nucleotide non-coding RNA. The record is from RefSeq and is a predicted model, not a curated record. NCBI's taxonomy places the organism in Eukaryota, Viridiplantae, Streptophyta, Magnoliopsida, Cucurbitales, Cucurbitaceae.
UUUAUUUUUCCUCUCAUUCUCACACUUCCCUCUUCAUACCCGAUUCUUUCUCACUCCUCUCUUCCAAACCCAUGUCUACUGCUCAUUUUGUUUCUCACUCUAUCUUCCAAAGUGGAUUUGUUGGUCGUUCCGCCGGAUCUGCUGCUCAUUUCGUCGUCGUUCGCAUGUCUCCGUCAGAUCUGUUGUUCAUUUCGUCGUCGUCGUUUGCGUGUCUCUAGAUCUGCUGUCGUCGUCAUUCGUCGUUCAUUCCGCCGCCGUUCGUCGUUCGUUCCAUCGUCGAACGAUCACCAGAUUUGGACAAGUUUCGGAGGUGCAGCUUAACCGUGCGAAAGAGUCAACAAAAUCUACAGUUUUGAUGCAUCUAGAGUCCAGGGUACUCUUUCUAUCUUCUUUCUCUCUCUCUCUCAUUCACACCAUAUGUCUUUUGUUAUUAGGAUGAGAGAGAGCAAACUGCUUGUUACUAGGAUGCAAUCUCCAUCUUUAAAGCUGUCAAAGUCAAAUUGUGAACAAAUCAAAGGGAUUGGGGACGGGGAGUAGGUUAGGGGAUAGUCCACAGAGGGAAAGGACAUCGGAAGCCUAGACGUUGAACAAGGUCAGGGUCAGCAUCGUGGUGGGCCAUUUCCGCGGUCUCAUAUAGAAAACGCGAGGGAAAGCACCAGUGAAAAGGGAAUUUCCUUUAUCCACUUUUUGGUGGCUUUGAAUCAUUACAACUUUUGAGGAAAUUGGUACAGAUGUUCAUUUAAAUUUGUCCUCACUUUUCAAUUGGAUCGAAUUUUGGUUUCUCCUAAGUACAAGAAGAGGAGAUUCAAGAAGACAGCAAAGCCUCAGCGUGGAAUGGAAAAAGAAAAGGACGAAAAAAGAGAGAAAGUGGCCGACUAGGAAAGCGUUCAAAGUGCAAGGCUAAAUGGAGUUCUGGGAGUUCUACUGACACAAGGAGUGAGAGUACAAGUGAUAGCAGUAGUAUUCUGAUGAUGAAAGAGUUGAUCAUUGUGUCGCUACUCGUAAAAUUAAAGAUUCUAAGCAUUUUGAGGCUAAUCAAAAGGAAUUUAUGGUAUGUUGUUCUCUUCUUAUUCAAUUA